This is a long non-coding RNA of Homo sapiens (human), 6250 nucleotides long. RefSeq lists it as uncharacterized. The transcript is spliced from 2 exons. The record is from RefSeq and is a predicted model, not a curated record. NCBI's taxonomy places the organism in Eukaryota, Metazoa, Chordata, Mammalia, Primates, Hominidae.
ACCCUCGGCGGCCGCCCCGCGCGCGCUCCGGGCCGUUUCCGGUGUGGCCGCGACAAAGAGCCGCAGCCCCUGUGGCUUCUGCGAGGAGGCGUGAGGCGUGUGCGCCUCCGCGGCGUCUCCACGGAGCGAGCGGGACGCGCCCUCCUCCUCGGUGGGAGGGAGGGGGGUCACCUGCGGGGACCAGGUAUCCGAGGGCCACCCCUAGACAGUCAGCCUGGCCCGAAGGAUGACCAGCCCCCGGUAAAUAGAAGGGGGCGAAGCCAGCUCCGAAACCUUACGUUCGCUGUCCCUUGUAAAGACCCUAGAGGCAGUGAUCGGGGAACGCCAAGGAGAAAGCGGCAGAGGGGAAACCACAGUAGAGAAGUUUGGUGUGCAGAGGGUUGAAGUGUGCUUUUCCAAGGUUAGAGGUUUUUAAACCUUGUGGCUUUAAUGGGAACGUAGUUUGCCCUCUGCUCCUCUAGUGGAAUUACAUGGACGGAAGAGGAAAUGCAUUGGCCGGCCCAGCUCACCGAGUCUCUGAGGCAUGCUGCGAACGUUGCAGAGGAAGCCAGAGAGAACCUUGCCUUCAAGGAAUUUAGGCUGUUGGGGGAUAAUGCGAUGCUGUGGCCAGUGUCCAGGACACUGCGCUAGAGUUUGCAGUAGUUUUAAUAUGCUUGACCACCCACGAACUGUGAUCUUAGAAAAGUCACUUGGGUUAGGAGUCAAAGGAUUUAAAGCCCACAAAGCCUGAAACGUAAAUCCUAUACACAUGCACGCUAUUACUUUUCAUAUGAGAAAGGAAAAUAUAAUCCGUGUUCCACAUGAUUAUGUAAAGACUGGAAUUGAUGUACAUGCAGUAAAGACUAAAAUUGUGACGAGAUCAUUUAGCAGAAACCACUACUUCAAAAUAGGACCUCAAACAGUUACCUGUGUAAGUUCAGGACUGGUUGAGCAAAGGGAAAGGAUUAAUAUGAUUGGAGAUGUAAAAUCAGUGGAAUUUUUGGCAUUUCAGUAAAAUGUCUUUAUCAGCUGGGUGUGGUGGCUCAGCCCUGUAAUCCCAACACUGUGGGAGGCCAAGGUGGGAGGAUCAUUUGAGCCCAGGAAUUGGAGAGUUGGAGACCAGCUUGGGCAACAUAAAGACCCCGUCUCUAUGGGAAAUUAACCACCUCUCAAGUGGUGCUGAGGUGGGAGGAUAGCUUGAGCCUGGGAAGUCAAGGUUGCAGUGAGCUGUGGUGACUCCAUUAUACUCCAGCCUGGGUGACAGAGCAGGACCUUGUCUCAAAAGAAAACAAAAAAGCCCUUAUUAGUGGCAAACUAAAUAAGCCUCUAACCCGUCUUCAAGUAAAGGAAGUUAUGAUAGUAUUUUCAUUUAUGCAUUUUAAGAAACUUCGACUGACUAUGGCCAGCAACUGGGAUAGAAAGAUGGACAUCAGCCGGCUGUGGUGGCUCACGCCUGUAAUCCCAGCACUUUGGGAGGCCGAGGUAGGCGGAUCACCUGAGGUCGAGAGUUCAAGACCAGCCUGACCAACAUGGAGAAACCUCAUCUCUACUAAAAAUACAAAAUUAGCCAGGUGUGGUGGUGCAUGCCUGUAAUCCCAGCUACUCGGGAGGCUGAGGCAGGAGAAUCGCUUGAACCUGGGAGGUGGAGGUUGCUGUGAGCCAAAAUCGCACCAUUGCACUCCAGCCUGCGCAAGAAGAGCGAAACUCUGUCUCAAAAAAAAAAAAAAAAAAAAAGUGGACAAAAUGUAGUCCUAGGUCCUUGCAUUUGGCACAUUCAAGUUUGAUAAUACCAUUAGUUAUUGAGUAUUGUUGACCAGGCAUCGUGCUCCAUCAUUAAACACAUUAUCUGGUUUAUCUUUACAACAGGCUAAUGAGUUAGGUAUUAUGCCCCUCAUUGCCAAAAUUAGGAAGGAAACUAAGACCCAGAAGGAAUGAUUUUCAAGGCCACACAAUAAAUUGCAGAAUUUGGUUUCCAAGUCAGUCUGAAUUCAAGGUCCAUGUUCCUAACCACAGUGUUUUGCUGCAAACAAACACAGUUCACUGGGAUAAGUGCAGUUAUGGUGGCUUGUACAAAAUGUUCUGUGGUAGUACAGGCAGGGAGUGACAGCUUUAGCCUGCUAAACAGUCAAGACAGGCAUCACAUUCAAGUAACGUUAGAGCUGAGCCUGAAGGAUGGACAGGAUUUUGCAAGUGGAGGUGGGGAGAAGAGUUUUCUGGGCAGAGAGAACUGCGUACAAAGACAGAAGACCCUGAAAGCACAGAGCUUGUAGUUGGGGGCCCCUGAGCAUCUGGAAGAGAGGACAGGAAAUGAGGCAGGAACAGCUGAAGAGCAUCUUCUCCAGAGAUUCUUAGAUUGGCGGUGCUGGACAGCAAGUGACCAGAAGAGAAACAAGUGGUAACCCAACCUGCAUGAAGAAAAUUCAGUAGAACCUUGCUGGUGUAGAGAAGAUGGCACAAAGAAGAGUGAGAACACUUUUAUGAAAGGCUUAGGAAAUGUUGAAGUUUUCCAGUUUUCUUCCUAUGUGAAGGAACAUAGUGAAGGGGGAAAGGCCCCUUUUUUGCACAUACCUGUGGAGGGUAACGCUGUGUGGGUGCAUUUAGCCCUAAUCUCUGCCGUGGAUCAGGAUCGUUGGUUGUGGAGGAGGAAGAAGAGAGGGAAAGGCUUGAAUACUUACAAAAGAUUUUGAGAGCCUAAAUGAUGAAAGCUAGCAGUUCUACAGUGUUUACUAAGUGCAAGAAACUGUUGUAAGAGUUUUGCAUAUAUUAACUCCUUUGAUUCGAUUCUAAUGACCCUAUGAGGUAGGUGCUAUUAUUAUCAUCUCCAUUUCACAGAGAAGGAAAUUGAGACACAGAGAGAUUAAAUAACUUGACCAAGAUCACACAGCUAUAAUAGUCAAUUGUGGAGCUGGGAUUCAAGCUCUGGUGUCUGCUUUCAGAUUCAUACCCUUACCCAUUACCCUGUACUACCCAUCUGGAAUGUGGAGAACGUGCUGAUAACAUUGCUAAUAAUCAUCUGUCGUUUAUUUCUGACUACUCUCCAAUUUUUUUAAGAGACCUGUAUCUAACCUUUGGUGAUAACUAAACUAUAGGAGAAAACUUGAGUUCUGAUAGUAAGAAACAUUUACAAAAUGGUCUGAAAGUUGAUUUGAAGUCGAAAACCCUUAUAUGUGUUUGUAAAUUCUAGAGAAGAAGUGGCAGCCAGGCAGAUGAGCUCUCUGUUCUGUGCAGAGCUGAUGGUACUCCCUGCCCUGGGGAGCCGGCACUGGCAGCGAUUACAUCACUAAGUCACCCUCCAUACUCAGCUGCUUGCUAAGAAUUAAAUUGCUGGCACCAGAUCUGGUGAGCCUCAUGUUACCAUGGCUUGUUUGUGGAGAGCACAUUAGUGUGAUAUGUUCAGUCUUCAGAAACAGUUAAACAUCAGCUUUAUUACCAAAAAGAUAGUGUAUGCUGGUAUUACUCCUGGUUAUUCGGUUCAGCUCCUCAAGUGAACAGUCCCACACCUAUUUAGCCCAUUGAGUCAAGCUGACCUCCUUUCCCGGUUACGGGUUUGUGGACAGGAGUGACAGGCGGGUUCACUUGCAAGGGAGCCAGAGAGCCGCUCGUGCCUCUGCUGCCCUCUAGAGGCGUGUCAGGCCAAGGCCGCUCAUCUCUGAGCCUUGCCGGCGGAUUGCACCACCAGUCCACCUUUUGUCUCCCUUUUGAAUCUCCACUGAACACCAUUUGUCAAAAGGGUUGAGGCAAAACCACUCUGAGCUUCCAAAACAAUAAUAAGACUUAAUUAGAAUUCCAAGCUAAGCCAUUGAGAGUUGCUGUUUAUAUUGGGGAAGAUGUAACACUUCAGUCCUGUGUUUUUCAGCCCCUACAUCUCAACCAUCAAAGGGAAAUGAGUCAAGGUUGUUUUAAAACUAUAAAUAGAGCUAACACUUACAAAGCAAUUGCCACAUGCCAGGUACUAUUCUAAGCGCCUCGCAUAUGAUGACCUAUUUAAUGAGGUGGGUGGUAUGAGCAUCUCUAUCUUAUAAAUAGGGGAACUGAGGCAAGGGACUGUAAGUAUUUCUCACAGUUCAUGGGUGGUGGAACUGGCUUUGAAGCCCGGUAGUUCUGGCUCCAUGAACUUGGCUUAUAAUCACUUUACUGUACGGCCUCUUUUAUAGCUAUCGAGGCAUGCAUUGCAAGUCCAAUUUUUAGGUAAAGGUUUUGUUAAAAAUCUUUAACCUUAAUCUUGUAAUGAGGAAACAAUUGGCCCAGACCCUUUAAAAAUGUCAAUGACGUAAUAAAUAAAGAAGGAGAAGGAGGAGGAGGAAGGGGAGAAGUAUUUUAGAGCUAUGACAACUAAAUAUAAUUCAUUGUCCAUGGUUAGACCCUGGAUAUAAAGAGACAAAACUACAAACAAUAUUAUUGGGAAAUUAGGAAAAUAUGAAUAUGGGCUAUAUUUUGGAUAAUCAUAUUAAUGUUGCAUUUCUUGAGUAUGACCUCUUAUUGCUGUUAUAUAGCAGUAUGUCCUUGUUCUUAAGUGAUACUUGAACUAUUUAGGGGUAAAAUAUCAUGAUAUCAGCAAAUUACUAUCAGACAAUUCAGGAAAAAAAUAUACCUGAGAAAGAAAGAGAAAGCAAAUGUGGCAAAAUGUAAAAUAAUUAGGAAACUAGGUAAAGGGUAUAUGGUGUUCAUUAUGCUAUUUUUAAAACUUUUUUCUAGGUUUGACAUUUUUAGCAUAAAAAGUAGAGGCAAAAUAAUUACUUAUUUCAGAAUAAGAGGUAGCCAUGGCUACACCCAAGGUAUCUGCCUGGACACCACAAGUGGUACAAAUAAGCAAAGUGUGUUAGUUGGGAAUCCACAGGCAAGCUUUGAAAUCUGUAGACAUAUGUUAUAUGAAAGUGUAUGAGAUAUUACAUCUUAUUUAUUCAUGUUUUUCCAUUAGUACUAGGAAUUACAUGCAUCAUUAUGUAUUUUCAAAAAAGAUCAAGUUUCCAUCCAAUAGAAAAUAAAUAGUGCAAAUUACAAAGUCUUGUAUGAAACUAAAUAAGGUCUAAUUGUAGUCUUGGGAUUAUUCUGUUUUUAUCAUCAACAAAUAAGGCAUUUGUAGGAGAGUGCCUGCCCUAUUUAUUCAGCACUGUGUUCCAGGUACUGAUUUAGUGCUGGGGAUACACCAGUGAGCAAACCAAGAUCUCUGAACUCAUGGUGCUCGCCUUCUGAUGGGACAGAGAGACAAAUAUUAUAGCUCAGUAAACUGCAGAGAAUGUUAGAAAGUGAUUAUUGCCAAAGAAAAGUAGAAAAAUAGAGCAGCAUAGUGGGAAAUUGGGACAGGCAGUUGCAGAGAAGAGGGUUUCAGUUUUAAAGAGGAUCCCCAGGGUAGGUUUCAUCAAAUAUGACCUCAUGGCACCUGGAAGGAAAGUAGAAGAGAACAGAGAAGAACAACCCUAAGGUGACAGCAUGCCCAGAGUAUGGCUAGAGCUGAGUGAGCAAGGGGGAAAGAGGAGAAGGAUAUGAAGUCAGAGAGGAAAUAGAGGAUGAGUUCACAAAGGUCACCAUGAAGGCUUUGGUUUUCAUGCUGAGUAAAAUAGGAAGCCACUGGAUGAUUUUGAGCAGAGGAGUGAGGUGAUCUGACUUAACACUUAAAAGGAUCAAUCUCGUAGGGGGACAAAGGUGGAAGCAACAUCUCCCGUUAGGAGCCUAUUGCAACAAUCCAAGCAAGAGAGGAGAGUGACUCAGCACAGGCUGGUAGAAUUGGUGGUGGAGAGAUGUGAUCAGAUUCUGGAUAUUUUGUUGGUAGAGCCAACAGGAAGGAUUUGCUGAUAAAUUAGAUGUGAUGUUUGAGAGAAAAAGACAAGGGUGACUCAAUAUUUUUGUCCAGAGCAACUGGAAAAAUGAAGCUGUCAUUCCCACAGAUAGGGAAGACUAGGUAGAGCAGAUUUUGAGGGAGAAGAUUAAGAGUUCAGUUUUGGACAUGCUGAGUUACAGCUGUCUAUCAGACAUCCAGAUGGAGAUGUCAUAAAGGUAGUUGGAUAUAGAAGUUUUGAGAUUGUAGAGAGGUCAGGGCUAGAGAUUUAAAACUGGUCACAAUUGGUGUAUUGAUGGUAUUCAUAGCCGUGAGCCUGGAUAGGAUGACCAAGACAGUGAGUGUGGAUAGAGAAGAGAAGAGUAUUAAGGAAUGUGCCCUUGAAUUCUUCUCUUUUAUUGUUUAUUUAUACUUGUUAUGUUUCUCAUUUUGUUUGGAAAAUUAUUACGCUGUGUAAAAUAAAAAGGAGAGUUGACAAUUAUUUAAAUUACUGAA